GACGAACGCUGGCGGCGUGCUUAACACAUGCAAGUCGAGCGGUAAGGCCCUUUCGGGGGUACACGAGCGGCGAACGGGUGAGUAACACGUGGGUGACCUGCCCUCAGCUCUGGGAUAAGCCCGGGAAACUGGGUCUAAUACCGGAUAUGACUUCAUGACGCAUGUUGUGGAGUGGAAAGCCUUGUGCGGCUGAGGAUGGGCCCGCGGCCUAUCAGCUUGUUGGUGGGG
RNAcentral lists this ribosomal RNA (228 nucleotides) under uncultured bacterium. Its description in RNAcentral is "partial 16S ribosomal RNA". It matches the Rfam family "Bacterial small subunit ribosomal RNA", at positions 28 to 257 of the family's 1533-position model. The record is from RNAcentral.